AUGAAUUCACUAUAAUUUUUUAUGGUUUAUGAUCAUUUCAGGUAUAUAAAUAACGAAAGGUUUUUAUAUCACAAUCAUAAUUAUUGUUGUAUUUCAAUCGUUAAAAUGUUCACGAAAUUGGUAGCCAGGUUAUGUUUGAUCAACUUUAUUAUUUUCUGCGGAUCCAGAAUGGCCUUUCCCCAUCUCCCAGGACUAUCAAAAAUGUUACCACAUGAAGAAACUACUUCAACAACCAGUGUUCCUCCGCAAAUUAAUGUAGACGUCAAUGUGCACGCAGAGACGACGCCGCAACCAUCGCAAACAUAUCUCUUAAGCAAGGAGAAUCUAUCAAAGGAUCAAUCGUAGCUGUUAUAGCAACGAAAGGAUUUUAUUCCAAAAUUAAUAUGAUAAAAUAAACAUAAUCUUCUAUUUUUUCACAUAAAUAUUCAUAUUAGUCAUUGUUUAUAAAUUAUCGGGACUUGUAAAAUGUUGUCGUUUAAUAAAUUAAUAUACACAGAA
Molecule: long non-coding RNA, 498 nt
Organism: Pieris rapae (cabbage white)
Lineage: Eukaryota; Metazoa; Arthropoda; Insecta; Lepidoptera; Pieridae
Exons: 2
Source: RefSeq, a predicted model, not a curated record